This 76-nucleotide transfer RNA is filed under the name Clostridiaceae bacterium. RNAcentral's name for it is "tRNA-Ala". It matches the Rfam family "tRNA". From Rfam's summary of the family: Transfer RNA (tRNA) molecules are approximately 80 nucleotides in length. The record is from RNAcentral. Lineage: Bacteria; Bacillati; Bacillota; Clostridia; Eubacteriales; Clostridiaceae. RNAcentral also lists the same sequence under 1 other name.
GGGCCUGUAGCUCAGUUGGGAGAGCGUUCGGUUCGCAUCCGAGAGGUCGAGAGUUCGAGUCUCUUCAGGUCCACCA